This 492-nucleotide ribosomal RNA is filed under the name uncultured bacterium. RNAcentral's name for it is "bacterial SSU rRNA". It matches the Rfam family "Bacterial small subunit ribosomal RNA", at positions 903 to 1397 of the family's 1533-position model. The record is from RNAcentral.
AAAUGAAUAGACGGGAGCCCGCACAAGCAGUGGAGUAUGUGGUUUAAUUCGACGCAACGCGAAAAACCUUACCAAGGAUUGACAUCCUAGGAACCCGGCGUAAUGGCUGGGGUGCCCCUUCGGGGGAAUCUAGAGACAGGUGGUGCAUGGUUGUCGUCAGCUCGUGUCGUGAGAUGUUGGGUUAAGUCCCGCAACGAGCGCAACCCUUACCGUCAGUUGCUACGCAAGAGCACUCUGGCAGGACUGCCGUUGACAAAACGGAGGAAGGUGGGGACGACGUCAAAUCAUCAUGCCCCUUAUAUCUUGGGCUACACACGUACUACAAUGGCGCAAACAAAGAGCAGCGACCCCGCGAGGGCGAGCAAAUCUCAUAAAAGGCGUCCCAGUUCGGACUGCAGGCUGCAACUCGCCUGCACGAAGUUGGAAUUGCUAGUAAUCGCGAAUCAGCAUGUCGCGGUGAAUACGUUCCCGGGCUUUGUACACACCGCCCGU